GCGCGGUUAGUAUAGCGGUUUAGUACUCUCGUUUCCCAAAUGAGUGACCCGGGUUCGACUCCCGGACUGCGCA
Molecule: transfer RNA, 73 nt
Filed under: Neurospora sublineolata FGSC 5508
Lineage: Eukaryota; Fungi; Ascomycota; Sordariomycetes; Sordariales; Sordariaceae
Description: tRNA-Gly (CCC) (tRNA-Gly-CCC-5-1)
Rfam family: tRNA
About the family: Transfer RNA (tRNA) molecules are approximately 80 nucleotides in length.
Source: RNAcentral